CUCUGUUCUCUGACACAUAAACAAUCAGCUGGUCGGCCAUGUUGGAUAUACCGGUGAAUCUGACGUUGCAACAACAUGCAAUCUGAUUGGUCAGAAGUGGACACACAGUAUGCGAAACUUUAGAAAAAUUGACCAUGAUCCGAAAAAACAAAUGCCGCAAUAUCGCAGGACAGGAAAACAUUGUUGAUGUGAAUGCUUGUAUUGACA
This is a non-coding RNA of Xyrichtys novacula (pearly razorfish), 207 nucleotides long. NCBI's taxonomy places the organism in Eukaryota, Metazoa, Chordata, Actinopteri, Labriformes, Labridae. The record is from the annotation of a GenBank genome assembly.